This 479-nucleotide ribosomal RNA is filed under the name uncultured bacterium. RNAcentral describes it as "partial 16S ribosomal RNA". It matches the Rfam family "Bacterial small subunit ribosomal RNA", at positions 28 to 523 of the family's 1533-position model. The record is from RNAcentral.
GACGAACGCUGGCGGCGUGCUUAACACAUGCAAGUCGAACGGUAAGGCCCUUCGGGGUACACGAGUGGCGAACGGGUGAGUAACACGUGGGUGAUCUGCCCUGCACUUCGGGAUAAGCCUGGGAAACUGGGUCUAAUACCGGAUAGGACCACUGCCUGCAUGGGUGGUGGUGGAAAGCUUUUGCGGUGUGGAGAUGGGGCCGCGGCCUAUCAGCUUGUUGGUGGGGUGAUGGCAUACCAAGGCGACGACGGGUAGCCGGCCUGAGCGGGUGACCGGCCAAACUGGGGAAGAGAUACGGCCCAGACUCCUACGGGGGGCAGCAGUGGGGAAUAUUGCACAAUGGGCGCAAGCCUGAUGCAGCGACGCCGCGUGAGGGAUGACGGCCUUCGGGUUGUAAACCUCUUUCAGCACCGACGAAGCGCAAGUGACGGUAGGUGCAGAAGAAGGACCGGCCAACUACGUGCCAGCCGCCGCGGUAA